Molecule: ribosomal RNA, 1101 nt
Filed under: Cercophora scortea
Lineage: Eukaryota; Fungi; Ascomycota; Sordariomycetes; Sordariales; Lasiosphaeriaceae
Description: eukaryotic LSU rRNA
Rfam family: Eukaryotic large subunit ribosomal RNA
Source: RNAcentral
UACCCGCUGAACUUAAGCAUAUCAAUAAGCGGAGGAAAAGAAACCAACAGGGAUUGCCCCAGUAACGGCGAGUGAAGCGGCAACAGCUCAAAUUUGAAAUCUGGCUUCGGCCCGAGUUGUAAUUUGUAGAGGAAGAUUUUGGUGAGGCACCUUCUGAGUCCCCUGGAACGGGGCGCCAUAGAGGGUGAGAGCCCCGUAUAGUUGGAUGCCUAGCCUGUGUAAAUCUCCUUCGACGAGUCGAGUAGUUUGGGAAUGCUGCUCUAAAUGGGAGGUAAAUUUCUUCUAAAGCUAAAUAUUGGCCAGAGACCGAUAGCGCACAAGUAGAGUGAUCGAAAGAUGAAAAGCACUUUGAAAAGAGGGUUAAACAGCACGUGAAAUUGUUGAAAGGGAAGCGCUUGUGACCAGACUUGCGCCGGGCGGAUCAUCCGGUGUUCUCACCGGUGCACUCCGCCCGGCUCAGGCCAGCAUCGGUUUUCGUGGGGGGAUAAAGGCCCGGGGAACGUAGCUCCUCCGGGAGUGUUAUAGCCCUGGGCGCAACGCCCUCGCGGGGACCGAGGUUCGCGCUUCUGCAAGGAUGCUGGCGUAAUGGUCAUCAGCGACCCGUCUUGAAACACGGACCAAGGAGUCAAGGUUUUGCGCGAGUGUUUGGGUGUAAAACCCGCACGCGUAAUGAAAGUGAACGUAGGUGAGAGCUUCGGCGCAUCAUCGACCGAUCCUGAUGUAUUCGGAUGGAUUUGAGUAGGAGCGUUAAGCCUUGGACCCGAAAGAUGGUGAACUAUGCUUGGAUAGGGUGAAGCCAGAGGAAACUCUGGUGGAGGCUCGCAGCGGUUCUGACGUGCAAAUCGAUCGUCAAAUCUGAGCAUGGGGGCGAAAGACUAAUCGAACCAUCUAGUAGCUGGUUACCGCCGAAGUUUCCCUCAGGAUAGCAGUGUUGUUCUUCAGUUUUAUGAGGUAAAGCGAAUGAUUAGGGACUCGGGGGCGCUUUUUAGCCUUCAUCCAUUCUCAAACUUUAAAUAUGUAAGAAGCCCUUGUUACUUAAUUGAACGUGGGCAUUCGAAUGUACCAACACUAGUGGGCCAUUUUUGGUAAGCAGAACUGGCG